CCUACGGGUGGCAGCAGUGAGGAAUAUUGCUCAAUGGACGCAAGCCUGAACCAGCCACGCCGCGUGCAGGAUGAAGGUCCUCUGAUUUGUAAACUGUGUUUGUACGAGGGUAAAUUCCGAUUCGUGUAUCGGGUUGAAAUUACCGUACGAAUAAGGAUCGGCUAAAUCCGUGCCAUCAGCCGCGGUAAUACGGAGGAUUCAAGCGUUAUCCGGAUUUGUUGGGUUUAAAGGGUACGUAGGCGGUUCGAUAAGUUAGGGGUGAAAUCCCGGGGCUCAACUCCGGCACUGCCUCUGAUACUGGCAGACUAGAGUUUAGUUGCGGUAGGCGGAAUGUAAGGUGUAGCGGUGAAAUGCAUAGAGAUCAGGCAGAACACCGAUGGCGAAGGCAGCUUACCGAACUACGACUGACGUUGAGGCACGAAAGCGUGGGGAGCAAACAGGAUUAGAUACCCCGGUAGUC
Molecule: ribosomal RNA, 460 nt
Filed under: uncultured bacterium
Lineage: Bacteria
Description: partial 16S ribosomal RNA
Rfam family: Bacterial small subunit ribosomal RNA
Source: RNAcentral